AGAUUGAACGCUGGCGGCAUGCCUUACACAUGCAAGUCGAACGGCAGCACGGGAGCAAUCCUGGUGGCGAGUGGCGAACGGGUGAGUAAUACAUCGGAACGUGCCCAAUCGUGGGGGAUAACGCAGCGAAAGCUGUGCUAAUACCGCAUAAGAUCUACGGAUGAAAGCAGGGGAUCGCAAGACCUUGCGCGAAUGGAGCGGCCGAUGGCAGAUUAGGUAGUUGGUGAGGUAAAGGCUCACCAAGCCUUCGAUCUGUAGCUGGUCUGAGAGACGACCAGCCACACUGGGACUGAGACGCGCCCAGACUCUACGGGAGGCAGCAGU
Molecule: ribosomal RNA, 324 nt
Filed under: uncultured soil bacterium
Lineage: Bacteria
Description: bacterial SSU rRNA
Rfam family: Bacterial small subunit ribosomal RNA
Source: RNAcentral